UUAUGCUGAGAACUCGGUCUUCUCUGCUAAGAAGAUGAUCUCUGGAUUUAAAGAACUUCGGGCCUGGGGGAUGAGUCACAAGAGCUGAACAAAUGCUGUUUUGAUGGCAGCUGAGCUAAGUAUUUUGUAACUGUUUCAUAAAAUGAAACACUGGGGAUUUCCUGCUAGUAACUGAAGAAUCAAUAAAUGUCAAACCUAUUGCAAAGAGGUCAGAAAUAAAUUGUGUCUGUCGUUGUCUGAAACUGUGAUUUCUGUCCCUCUUAGAAAUAGAGGGUACAGAUGGGAGAAUAUAUUUUUAAUAGAUUUGAAGGUGCUUGUGGCUGUUUUACUGAAGCACGUGAACCUAUGCUUGAAGGCUUUUUGACAUUGAGUUAUGUGAGCUCCUGACAGUACCCCAUUUGAAUUUGAAGAAGAUGUUGAGCAUCAAAGAAACCCAAUUAAGAGAUGACUUCAAAUAUGACCAGCUGGCCAUCAAGCAAUGAAAAUGUCCUCAUUUCAACUUCAGAUGGAACACCAUCCAAAAA
This is a long non-coding RNA of Acomys russatus (golden spiny mouse), 524 nucleotides long. RefSeq lists it as uncharacterized. The record is from RefSeq and is a predicted model, not a curated record. Lineage: Eukaryota; Metazoa; Chordata; Mammalia; Rodentia; Muridae. The transcript is spliced from 2 exons.